This 5545-nucleotide long non-coding RNA is filed under the name Sus scrofa (pig). RNAcentral's name for it is "lncRNA (ENSSSCG00005004490.1)". The record is from RNAcentral. Lineage: Eukaryota; Metazoa; Chordata; Mammalia; Artiodactyla; Suidae.
UUUGGUUUUGCUUUUGUGUUUUGGUAAGUCAAACUUUUCUUUCAGAACAAUUUUAGCAUUACAGAAAAAUAGCAAAGGUAGUACAGGGAGUUGACACACAACCUACACUCAGUUUCCGCUAUUAUUAUCAUCUUACAUUAGUAUGAUGUAUUAAUUAAUGAACCAUAGUGAUAUAUUAUUAUCAACUAAAGUUCAUACUUUAUAUUUCCUUAGUUUUAUGUACUAUUCUUUUCCUGUUCCAGGAUCCCGUUGAUCCAAAACAAAUAGACUGCCAACUAUUUCUCCAGAAAAGAUGGGUUUAUUUGAGAUCAGCAGAGAAUUGUAAUUUGGGGUCUGUAAACAUGGUGAGCCAUGUGCAAGUCCAGCACAGUAAAGAAAGAACUCUGUUAUGGAAAGGAAAAGGAAGUUGAGAGGGCUGUAGUAAACAAAGAAGACAUGGCUUUUCCUUCGCUGAGUGUUGCCGAGUCUUUUUUCUACUUGUUGGGUUCUGUUACCAUCGUGGAGGAUGUGAGCUCCUCCUUCUGGUCUCCCAACUCUAUUUAAUCGAGGAUUCUGUUUAUGAUUUAUAGUCCCAUCCAAGAUACCACAUUCCAUUUAGCUAUCUUGUCUCCUUAGUUUUUCUGGACCAGAGAUUUGUCUCUUUUCCAGAAUUUAUUAAUGUAUUGAAUCAUUUAUUCACAUCGAUAUGAGUUCUAGCCUUUUCAUGGUCACAUUCUUAUGGGCUUAGUUGUAUCUUCCCCAAAUCCAUAUGUUGAAGCCCUCACCUACAGUACCUCAGAAUGUGACUAUUUGGAGGUAGAGCCUUUAAAGAGGUGGUAAAGUUAAAAUGAGGCAUUUUAGUGUAGGUCUUAAUCCAAUCUUACUGAUAUCCUUGUAAGAAGAGGAAAUUUGGACACAUAGAGACAUACCAGGGAUGUGUGUGCACAGAGGAAAGAACUCGUGAGGACGCAGCAAGAAGAUGGCCAUCUGCAAGCAAGAAGUAGGGCCUUAGAUAAACCAAACAUUGCUGACACCUUGAUUUAGCCUCCAGAACAGCAAGAAAACAAAUUUCUAUUGUUUAAGCUACCCAGUCUGUCGUAUUUCAUAACGAAGCCAAGCAAACUAAUACAGAGACCUCAUUUCCUUCUUAAAAUUUUAUUUUUUCAUGAAAUUUUGCUUUUAUUUUUAAAUUUUUAAUGAUUUUUAUUUUUUCUAUUAUAGUUGGUUUACAGUGUUCUGUCAGUUUUCUACUAUACAGCAAAGUGACCCAGUCAUAGAUAUAGAUAUAGAUCUAUCUAUCUAUUUACAUACAUUCUUUUUCUCACAUUAUCCUCCAUCAUGCUCCAUCACAAGUUACUAGAAAUAGUUCUCAGUGCUAUACAGCAGGAUCUCUUUGCUUAUCCAUUCCAAAGGCAAUAGUUCACAUCUAUUAAUGCCAUAUUCCCAGUCUGUCCCACUUCAUCCCUCUCCCCCUUGACAAUCACAAGUCUCUUCUCCAAGUCCAUGAGUUUUUCUUCUGUGGAAACGUUCGUUUGUGCCAUAUAUUAGAUUCCAGAUAUACGUGAUGUCAUAUGGUAUUUGUCUUUCUCUUUCUGACUUCACUUAGUAUGCUAGUCUCUAGUUCUUUCCAUGUUGAGAGAUCUCAUUUCAUUUAUUGCUGGAUAUCCAUUUUGGAGAUAUAUUCAUUGAUCUAUUGAAAGACAUCUUGGUGCCUCUAGUCUUUAGGGAUUGUAAACAUUUGGCUGCUAUAAACAUUCACAUGCAGUUUUUCCAUGGACAUAAAAUUUUAAACCAGCUGUGUUUCAUAGUUUUCUUUGUUCUUAAAUCUUCUCUGUUUGAAAUUAAUACACUGCUGCAGCUUCUUAAAAUACUGUGUUAUCAUAGCCUAUCCCUAUUUUUAACCUGUCUUUAUAUUUAAAGUGGUUUCUUGUAGAUAACAGAGAGUUCAUUUUUGUUUUUCUAGCCACUCUGAAAACUUCUGUCAUUUAAUUGGUAUAUUUAGACCAUUUAUAUUUGAAAUAAUUAUAGUUUUUUUUCUAUUUUUAUUUUUUUCCCACUGUACAGCAAAGGGAUCAAGUUAUCCUGACAUGUAUACAUUUUUCCCCCACCCUUUGUUCUGUUGCAAUAUGAGUAUCUAGACAAAAUUCUCAAUACUACUCAGCAGGAUCUCUUUGUAAAUCUAUUCUAAGUUGUGUCUGAUAAGCCUAAGCUCCUGAUCCCUCCCAUUCCCUCCCUCUCCCAUCAGGCAGCCACAAGUCUUGAAAUAAUUAUAGUUUUGUAUUUUAACCUUUAUACUUGCUUCAUAAGUGAUUGAUCUACUACCUUUACUAAAUAUUUACUCUUUCCAGUGAGAUUUUUAUUUUUAUACAUAUUCUUAAUAUUAAUUAGUGUCUUUUUAGCUUAGAUAAGAAGUCCUUUAAACAUUUCUCGUAAGGCUGGUUUAUUAUUGAUGAACUCCAUUAGCUUUUGCUUAUUUGGAAAAUUCAUAAUCUCUCCUUCAAUUAUGAAUGACAACCUUGCUGGAUAAAAAAUUCUUGGUUGGAAAUUUUUUCCCUCAGCACUUUGACUAUAUCAUACCAUACCUUUUUGGUUGGUAAAUUUCUGCUGAAAAAUCUGGUGAUGGGAUUUCCCUUGUAUAUAAGAAGUUGUUUUUUUUCUUGCUGAUUUUAUGAUUCUCUCUUUAUUUCUAAUUUUUACCAUUUUAGUUAUAAUGUGUCUUGAUGUGGUUCUCUUUGGGUUCAUCUUACUUGGAAGUCUCUUGGCUUUCUGAACCUGAGUGUCUAUUUCCCUCCCCAGAUUAAGGGCUUUUCAGCCAUUAUUUUUUCAAAUACUUUUUCUGUCCCUUUCUUUCUUGUCUUUCUGGGGGCCUAAUAAUGUAUAAUUCUGCUUGAUGUUGUCCCAGAGGUCCCUUAUAGUAUCUUCCCUUUUUAAAAUUCUUUUUCAUUUUGCUGCUCUUUCUGGUGAUUUUCAUUGCUUUGCCUUCCAGCUGGCUGAUUUGUUGUUUUACUUCAUCCAGUCAGCUGUUGUGCUUCUAAAGUGAUUCUUGCCGUUCAGUUAUAACUUCUGUUUUCUAAUUCUUAUAUUUUCUAUCUCUAUGUUGAAGCUCACUGUGUUCAUCUAUUCUUCACCUGAGGAUGGUAAGCAACUUUAUGACCAUUACUUUGAACUCUAUAGAUUGCUUCUCCAUUUCUUAAGAUCUUUUUCUGGGGAGUUGUCUUGUUCUUAGGUUUAGUUUGGGAUUUGUCUGUCUCUUCAUUUUUCCUACCUUUGAAUUUGUCUAUAUGUAUUAAAUGAAACAGGCUACCUCUCUCAGGCUUGAAGGAGUGUUCUUAUGUAGGAUAAGAUCUGUGGGACCUGGAAGUGAAGUCUUCCCUGGCCAUCAGAGUCAAGCCUGCAAAAGGUAUCCCACAUGUGGGCUGUGUGUUCCUGCCAGCUCUAUUUGUAUUUUAACCUUUAUACUUGCUUCUGUGUGGGGAGGGCAGUGCUGUGUAAUUGUUCAGCCCAUUUAUGAUGAAACUGCUGUGUGGGGUGGGUGGAAUGCAGAGUGCUUGCCUAGCUUUGUUGUGCUGCUGUUACUAUGUGAGGUGAGUGGGGGCUUGGGGUUCUCACCCAGAUGUUACCUGGGUUGUGGCAUGGGGUAGAGUAUAUGCACCCAUGCUAAUAGAUUGGAGAGAGGGCAACAAAAGUGACACCCACCAGUUCUGUCAUCCAUGAGUUAGGAUGAAAUUGCAAAAAUGGUACCCACCAGUGCUUUCAUCCCUGGUGAAAGUCCCAGAAGUUUCCUGCCUCUCCCUCUACAUCUGCUUUAAAAUAGGUUGACUUCUUUUGAUUAUGUUCUAGGCAUUUUUCAAAGUGUUGCUUUUGUGCUGAAUAUCAGUACAAAUGGGUCUGUGCAUGAGUCCUUUAAGAGUGGAUUCUCCAUUCUCAACAAUUUUAUGGUUCUUUUGGUCUUAAUCCCCAUUGAUUUUCAAAACCAAAUAUUUUGGGGACUUGUCUUCCUGAUGCUGAACCCAGAGUCAGGGUGGCUGAAGUGGGACUCAAUCCCUCCACUCCUCAAGGGAAGGUUUUACAUUUUUGGCACCUCUCUCAAUUGUCAUCACUGCUCCUGAGGUGUCCUCUGGUAUGAGACUGUACCUCUGCUUCUCUUUCCUGUCUCCGUGCAUCUCUCUUACCAUUUAUUGUAGACAUGCUGUUCAUCUAUGUCUCAGGUCCUUUUCAGAGGAAAAUUAUCCCAUGUGUAGUUGUAUAUUUGUUGUGUCCCUAGGAGGAGGUGUGUUUGGGGUCUUCCUAUGCUCACCCUGAACCCCUCUCUCAAAAAACAAAAUAUUUUAUUUUAUCUACAUUUAUCUCUUCUCUGAGUUCAUGAUCUAAUGACCUAUAUCAUUUUACUUCACAGAAUGAAUAGUAAUGAAGUUAGUAUAUAUUUCUAUCUUUUUAGGCCCUUAUCUUUAUGAAAUGAUUUCCGUAGAUGACAUCAUUUUUCUUAGAUUAUCUGUAUUUACUUCCUUUAAGGAAACUUAUACCACUCAUUUAAUUUGUUAAGUAAUAUAUUUUAUAUUCUGUAUGUGAAAUUUGAGAUAAUCAAUUUUACACACAUCUUUUUUUUUCCCAGUAUAUAAUUUUGUAUUAUUUCCAGUUCAUUUUAAUUCUCCCCAUACCUCUUCUCUAUAACUCUGACUGUGUUUUGGCAGGCUUGUUUUCUUUACAUUACUUCUCUGACAGAUUUCAUUUUUCCUGUGAUUCUUUUUACUUCUUUUCUGAGCUCUGAAAGAUUAUGUUUCAUCUCACUGUUGUUCCACUAUUUUUUUUUUUUGAGUUUUUGUAAUUCUUCUUUGACCUCUUGGAUUAAUUCACUUGAUUAUUUUUAAUUUAUGGCUACAUUCUUGGCCUACAUUUUUAUCUGCUUAGUGGAAAUAUUUUUUCAUGUUUUUACUGUUCCCUUCUUCUUAAAGAAUUUUUAAAUGACUUUGUGUUGUAUCCUUUUUUAAAAUUAUUGUAAUUCAUUUUUGAUCGAGGUGACAAAUCACAUUUGAGUCAGUUAAAUACACAAAACCUAUGUGGAAAGGCAAUAUUAUAAAUGGCAGAGAUGAAUAGGUAUGUGAGUUGUUUAGGCAUUACUUGCCCUCCUUUUCCCAUAUAACCUAUUGACUUUUUAGUUACCAAAAAAUGACUAGAAUUAAGACAUUUAGAAUGGAUAAGCAAUGAGGUCCUACUAUACAGUGCAAGAAACUAUAUCCAAUCACUUGGGAUAGAACAUGAUGGAGAUAAUAUGAGAAAAAGAAUGUAUAUAUAUAUAUAUAUGUGUGUGUGUGUGUGUGUAUAUGUACACACACACACACACACACACACACACACACAUAUGAGACUGGGUCACUAUGCUGUAUAGCAGAAACUGACACAACCUGUAAAUCUACUAUAUUCUAAUAAAAAUAGAAUUAAGAAAAGAAAAGAGAGGAAACUCAAAAAGAAAGAAACUCCUUAGACUCACCUGCAGACUCUUUUCAAUAAAGAUGCCAUGUCUGUGUUAUCUCAUUCUGUAAUAUUAAAUUUAACAUUGGAAAAUCCA